RNAcentral lists this ribosomal RNA (465 nucleotides) under Vreelandella stevensii. RNAcentral describes it as "partial 16S ribosomal RNA". It matches the Rfam family "Bacterial small subunit ribosomal RNA", at positions 338 to 795 of the family's 1533-position model. Lineage: Bacteria; Pseudomonadati; Pseudomonadota; Gammaproteobacteria; Oceanospirillales; Halomonadaceae. The record is from RNAcentral.
CCUACGGGCGGCUGCAGUGGGGAAUAUUGGACAAUGGGGGGAACCCUGAUCCAGCCAUGCCGCGUGUGUGAAGAAGGCCCUCGGGUUGUAAAGCACUUUCAGUGAGGAAGAACGCCUGGUGGUUAAUACCCAUCAGGAAAGACAUCACUCACAGAAGAAGCACCGGCUAACUCCGUGCCAGCAGCCGCGGUAAUACGGAGGGUGCGAGCGUUAAUCGGAAUUACUGGGCGUAAAGCGCGCGUAGGUGGCUUGAUAAGCCGGUUGUGAAAGCCCCGGGCUCAACCUGGGAACGGCAUCCGGAACUGUCAAGCUAGAGUGCAGGAGAGGAAGGUAGAAUUCCCGGUGUAGCGGUGAAUUGCGUAGAGAUCGGGAGGAAUACCAGUGGCGAAGGCGGCCUUCUGGACUGACACUGACACUGAGGUGCGAAAGCGUGGGUAGCAAACAGGAUUAGAUACCCCUGUAGUC